GUAGGUGGGCAAGCGUUGUCCGGAAUUAUUGGGCGUAAAGCGCGCGCAGGGCGGUCCUUUAAGUCUGAUGUGAAAGCCCACGGCUCAACCGUGGAGGGUCAUUGGAAACUGGGGGACUUGAGUACAGAAGAGGAAAGCGGAAUUCCAAGUGUAGCGGUGAAAUGCGUAGAGAUUUGGAGGAACACCAGUGGCGAAGGCGGCUUUCUGGUCUGUAACUGACGCCGAGGCGCGAAAGCGUGGGGAGCAAACAGGAUUAGAUACCCUGGUAGUCCACGCCGUAAACGAUGAGUGCUAAGUGUUAGGGGGUUUCCGCCCCUUAGUGCUGCAGCUAACGCAUUAAGCACUCCGCCUGGGGAGUACGGCCGCAAAGGCUG
This 374-nucleotide ribosomal RNA is filed under the name uncultured organism. RNAcentral describes it as "partial 16S ribosomal RNA". It matches the Rfam family "Bacterial small subunit ribosomal RNA", at positions 526 to 896 of the family's 1533-position model. The record is from RNAcentral.